GGACCUUCAUCCUCCAUUGUCCCGUCAUGGCGCAGCGCAGCCCCCGCGCCCACACGGGCGCCGCCAUCUUGCCGCAAAGACUCCGGAAAAGGCGGGCGCGUCCUCUCAGCCAAUAGAAAUAGGGGCGGAGAGUGACGGACAGGCGAGCCGACCAAUGGGAAAGGAAGGUGGGCUCGCCGCGCUGCUCAGCCAAUAGGAAGGGGGUUCAGAGUGAUUGACGGGUGAGGCGACCAAUGGGUGAAGGAAAAUGGUUUGGCGCUGUUUUUUGCGCCCAAUCAGCGCUUUGGAGGCUUUUGUGAACGAAAUGAGGCCUUGAAAUGGGUAAAAACCGGCCCAAAAUGGUUUAUUUUGGUAUAAAAAACCUUCAUUAUAAAUAUAAACUCUAUGGUUGGGACAGAACAGCACAGACAGGCAGAAAAGACGCUCUAGGAUUCAGUCCUCCAGCAUCUCUAUGGUCUCAGGUCCUCCAACGCAGUCCUCCAACAUCUCUAUGGUCACAAGUCCUCCAGAGUCCCUCCAGUCCUCCAGCAUCUCUAUGGUCUCAGGUCCUCCAACGCAGUCCUCCAGCAUCUCUAUGGUCUCAAGUCCUCCAGCGUUCCUAUAGUCCUCCAGCAUCUCUAUGGUCUCAAGUCCUCCAACGCAGUCCUCCAUCGUCUCUAUGAUCCCCCCCACCCCCAUUAUAACCCCAGUCCUCCAACAA
RNAcentral lists this long non-coding RNA (700 nucleotides) under Coturnix japonica (Japanese quail). RNAcentral's name for it is "lncRNA (ENSCJPG00005001838.1)". The record is from RNAcentral. Lineage: Eukaryota; Metazoa; Chordata; Aves; Galliformes; Phasianidae.